UACAGAGGGUGCAAGCGUUAUCCGGAAUGAUUGGGCGUAAAGCGUCCGUAGGUGGCUUUUUGAGUCCGUCGUCAAAUCCCAGGGCUCAACCCUGGACAGGCGGUGGAAACUACCAAGCUGGAGUACGGUAGGGGCAGAGGGAAUUUCCGGUGGAGCGGUGAAAUGCAUUGAGAUCGGGAAGAACACCAACAGCGAAAGCGCGCUGCUGGGCCGACACUGACACUGAGAGACGAAAGCUAGGGGAGCAAAUGGG
RNAcentral lists this ribosomal RNA (253 nucleotides) under uncultured bacterium. RNAcentral's name for it is "partial 16S ribosomal RNA". It matches the Rfam family "Bacterial small subunit ribosomal RNA", at positions 524 to 776 of the family's 1533-position model. The record is from RNAcentral.